This 864-nucleotide ribosomal RNA is filed under the name Triticum aestivum (bread wheat). RNAcentral's name for it is "partial small subunit ribosomal RNA". The record is from RNAcentral. Lineage: Eukaryota; Viridiplantae; Streptophyta; Magnoliopsida; Poales; Poaceae.
AUGAACCCUGUUGGCGAAGAUCGCAUAUCAGGAACAUCACCAGAGGCAGAAAAUGCACAAGAAGAAAAGAAGGAGAAAGGAAAGAUUUUCUUAGAAAAGAUACUUCAAAAGAGGAAACACGAUGUUGAAUUCUCAAUAAAAGCGAGCAUCAAAAACAACAACACACAAAAGGACACACCAACACGUGGGCAGCUUAACGAGCAGGCACAGUUCGAUCACGACAAGAAAAGGGGAAGGCAUCUUGCAAGAGUGCAGACAAGUUCGCCAAAACCCUCGACGAUUCAAUCACAUGAUAUCAGCUCAGCAAACAUAACCUCAACUAAGAGGCCAUUCAAGAGAGCAAGCAAGGAAAUUGAGAAAGUCAACGCUCCAGCACUUGUCCCAGGAGAUUUCAUUUACAAAGAAAAGGCCAUGCAACUCUAUAGAUAUCUGAUGAGCCGACAAGGACAGAAAGAAUGCGAACAAGAACAACUAUAUAAAACCUCAAAGAGCGAAGGCUACAUUUCAGGAAAAUCGUUCAUGGAACAAGCAGGGAAAGGAAACGCACAAAUGGAGGGCUCCAUGCUAAAUGCGUUACUGGACGAAUGGACAGAACAGAAACAGUUCAACCCAGACGUCGCAACUGUACUCCCUACAAAAUUCGCAAAUAUGGUGCUAGGUCUCAAUUAUAAAAAAGGAGAGCUAUUAGAAUUCAACGAAUAUGAUGCACUACAGGCAUUUGAACAACUCGUGCGAGGUAAGAACAUCCUGCACUCGAAGAUGAUCAUGAUACCUCAUCACACGGACAACCACUACACGCUAUAUGUAAUGAACAAGUACAGAGAUAGCAUCGACAUCCUUGACUCACUGAACUAUGUAAACUAA